CCUACGGGAGGCUGCAGUGGGGAAUAUUGGACAAUGGGCGAAAGCCUGAUCCAGCCAUGCCGCGUGUGUGAAGAAGGCCUUCGGGUUGUAAAGCACUUUCAGUGGGGAAGAAAGCCUUGGGGCUAAUACCCUCGAGGAAGGACAUCACCCACAGAAGAAGCACCGGCUAACUCCGUGCCAGCAGCCGCGGUAAUACGGAGGGUGCGAGCGUUAAUCGGAAUUACUGGGCGUAAAGCGCGCGUAGGCGGUCUGAUAAGCCGGUUGUGAAAGCCCCGGGCUCAACCUGGGAAUGGCAUCCGGAACUGUCAGGCUAGAGUGCAGGAGAGGAAGGUAGAAUUCCCGGUGUAGCGGUGAAAUGCGUAGAGAUCGGGAGGAAUACCAGUGGCGAAGGCGGCCUUCCGGACUGACACUGACGCUGAGGUGCGAAAGCGUGGGUAGCAAACAGGAUUAGAUACCCCAGUAGUC
This 465-nucleotide ribosomal RNA is filed under the name Vreelandella stevensii. RNAcentral's name for it is "partial 16S ribosomal RNA". It matches the Rfam family "Bacterial small subunit ribosomal RNA", at positions 338 to 795 of the family's 1533-position model. Lineage: Bacteria; Pseudomonadati; Pseudomonadota; Gammaproteobacteria; Oceanospirillales; Halomonadaceae. The record is from RNAcentral.